Molecule: long non-coding RNA, 809 nt
Filed under: Androctonus crassicauda
Lineage: Eukaryota; Metazoa; Arthropoda; Arachnida; Scorpiones; Buthidae
Source: RNAcentral
ACCAUAAUCCUACAUAAAAUAAAGUGUAUGAUGUUAAAUUGGACAGUAUAAAGCAAUGGAUUAUAUUGUGAUGAUUAUGUAAAUGUCUAGUCAUAAAGCACUGAUAUUGAUGGCGUUUGAUUCCUUGGAGAAAAAGUGUUAAAAUAAUAUGCACAUAAAUUAAAAUUUAAUAGUAGAAACUAAUUUGGCACUUAAUAUAUUUUGUUUUUUCUUAUGUUGCUUAUUCAAAAUGAAUACCCUGUAUGAUAUGUAGAUGUGUAUAUAUAAAAUGUGUAUUAUUUUUCAUAAUAAUUUUUAUAAAUUUUUUUAUGCACAAUUUCAGUAAUAAAUACAGGAGGUCCCUUAUUUAUGAUGGGGUUGUGUUCAAAAAUUUUCAUCAGCUCAAAUCCAUCAUAACUCUGAAUAUAAUUUUCAAUGAGUGCAUUAUUAUAAAUGGUAGUUACAUUCUCCACUUACCAGAGAACUGAAUAAAAAAUCAGUAUUCUUUUAAAAAGUAACACACAGUAAUGUUGAAUAAAGAACAAUAAUCAGCAAAUAAACAGUGUUUCCUUUUUAAAACAAAAAAAUUGUGUAUUUUGUGCCUGUCGGAACUUUAUAAGUAAAACUAAAGAAAACAUACUGCAAAAAAAAAACAAAGAUGAAAUGGUUGUUUUAAACUGGUACAGUCAGUCUCAGGUGGUGAUGUAAAUGUGACCAUUGCCAAAAGUAUCCUUUGGCAGCUUAAUUUAAAGUAAUCUAAUCAAGUUCCUAGCAAAUAUAAGCAAUUAUUUUUUAAUAUCAAUUUCUAAUUAUUGGUGACUACUACAUAA